Long non-coding RNA from Struthio camelus australis, 1754 nucleotides. NCBI's taxonomy places the organism in Eukaryota, Metazoa, Chordata, Aves, Struthioniformes, Struthionidae. The record is from Ensembl.
CGAGUCCAGAGUUUCUGUAGUCCAUUUUCUGUUUACUAGGGAAUGAGUAUUAGUUUUCCUCCAAUUGUUAGGUUUUCCCUCUGUAAGAGGUUACACAGUAAAUUUUGUUGCCUAGCAAAAGUCAUCAAAAAAGGCCAGAUAAAUCAGAUAGAUUGUAUGUAUGUGAUCUAAAGCAUUCAGGUAAGUCAAGUUCUGUGAUUACAAAUGCUUCAGAUCACAUGCAUACAAUAAAAAAGCAAGCAAACUCAGUAUUACACACACGGGUGCUGGCUUGAUAACGGAAACUAACGGAUAAUACCACAGUAUACAUUAAUACAAUGUAUCUGCUACUGGCAAGUCAUUCAAAUUGUCUCACUGAGAUUACUAGAUUAUUUAAAUAUGCAUGUGAUAUGGAUUAGAAAAUACCAGGUGAAACUAGCAAGUGGCGUGGUGAGCCAUCCCUCUAAAGGGUGAAUUUAGAAGCAGCAGUGCAGAGAGUUCCUCUCUUUCAUCCAUUUUAAAGACGUGAAUUUAUUGUCAGAGCUCGGCAUUAAAAUUUCCUAGACAGCCGUCAGACCGGUCUGAUGAGGAUUCUGCUCACCUGUCAGAAAAACACUGGAAAUUCAAAGAAUGCUACUUUAUCACCUGGGCUCCUUACUCAGUCAUCUUCUGUGGUUUUUCAGUAAGUUAAAUUAAAAUACUCUAAUCAGCUGUCACAGGCAGAUGCAGCUAGGUCACGCGUUUGAGCCACGCCUGUCCCAGUGGGGAAAGGCCAGCCUUUACACGUCGCGCAACCGCAGCGGAAUUGGGAUGAAGAAAACGGUACUCCUUCCUGCUUUUCUUUUAAAAGAUGGGCCACAAUAACUGAUUUGCAUUGUCAACACACUGACUCAGCCUUGACAAAUAAUUGAUGAAAACCUGAAAAGGUGAGAAUCUGAAUGCUUGAAUAUACAGGAAUCUGCUCCCACCUAGUAGAACAAGUCCGUGGAAUAAGAUGAAUGAGAAAGAAAUUUAAACCUAUGGGGGCCCAAGCAGAAGCAUGUGGUAUUUCUGUGCUGCUGGAACUGCAUUAUCAGCCAGUUCUUCCGCUUCCCCAGUUCUGACCAAUUUACAACAGCGCUAUACAACGUACUGCAAGAAUCCCAAAAGGCGUCCGUCUCACGCAUCGGCACAGCUGUCUUGGAAGCAGAUGGACACGAACCUACUCUAGAAGAGAUACCCGACUGGAGUACCGCGGAGCUCAUAGGAAGUGGGGAGACUGUACUUCGCUGCAACAUCAAUGACUUGGACUUUGAGGUGAUGGCAAUUUGGAUCCACUUUGUGAAGAAGCCCGAAAAGCAGUGUUGAACGCUUACUGAUUUACAGGGACGCAUUUUCUUUUACCUUGUUUUUUUUUGCUAGGUAAUUUACUUACAUUACAAAUGUACUAGAAAUGUCAGGAUACAGUGGUUCUUUGCACUCCUACAUCUCUUAGUAAGCCUCUAGAUAAAUCUUAUUUGUUGUAUCCAUAUGUCAACCAAGUACCUGUUCCAGAACUAAUCAUAUGUUACCAACCUCAAUAUUACAGAUUCAUGUAGAACUGAGUCGCAUGUAGUUCUAAUAAUUUGCUUUUAAUUAAAAGAAUCAGACUCCUGAAUAUCUUGCAUUCUUUCAACUUUUAGAAAGUUUUCUAUGUUAAAGACACCAUUUCAAAGUAAUUCACAACUGAAAAUCAUCCCAAACAUUUGACUAUAUGGAAGUAUAAUAACAAGAUGCUGUAUUAUCUCUUAACUUUU